RNAcentral lists this small RNA (76 nucleotides) under Xanthomonas vasicola. Its description in RNAcentral is "sX9 sRNA". It matches the Rfam family "Xanthomonas sRNA sX9". Lineage: Bacteria; Pseudomonadati; Pseudomonadota; Gammaproteobacteria; Lysobacterales; Lysobacteraceae. The record is from RNAcentral. RNAcentral also lists the same sequence under 10 other names.
AUGUACCACUCGUACACUCCGGUUCCUGUGCGUCGUCCGCACCCACCUGACGACUGCUCGCUACGUUUUGUUAGCC